GACCUCCUAGUGUUUACCACAGGCUGUGUUUUUAUGUUGACUGUAUACAAAGAGAAGGCAGGGUAAAUCUAUUCUGUAUAGACCCCAGCCUGGACCUCCUGUCUGGUCUGUGUUGUGAAUGGGGGACAUGG
Molecule: small nucleolar RNA, 131 nt
Organism: Sciurus vulgaris (Eurasian red squirrel)
Lineage: Eukaryota; Metazoa; Chordata; Mammalia; Rodentia; Sciuridae
Source: Ensembl